GACGUAGGGCGCGAGCGUUGUCCGGAUUUAUUGGGCGUAAAGAGCUCGUAGGCGGCUUGUCGCGUCGGCUGUGAAAACCCGCGGCUCAACUGUGGGCGGGCAGCUGAUACGGGCAGGCUGGAGUUCGGUAGGGGAGACUGGAAUUCCUGGUGUAGCGGUGAAAUGCGCAGAUAUCAGGAAGAACACCCGUGGCUAAGGCGGCUCUCUAGUACGGUACUGACGCUGAGACGCGAAAGCGUGGGGAGCGAACAGG
This 253-nucleotide ribosomal RNA is filed under the name uncultured bacterium. RNAcentral describes it as "partial 16S ribosomal RNA". It matches the Rfam family "Bacterial small subunit ribosomal RNA", at positions 524 to 776 of the family's 1533-position model. The record is from RNAcentral.